UACGUAGGGUGCAAGCGUUGUCCGGAAUUAUUGGGCGUAAAGAGCUCGUAGGCGGUCUGUCGCGUCGGCUGUGAAAACUCGGGGCUCAACUCCGAGCUUGCAGUCGAUACGGGCAGACUAGAGUGUGGUAGGGGAGACUGGAAGUUCCUGGUGUAGCGGUGGAAUGCGCCAGAUAGUCAGGAGGAACACCGGUGGCGAAGGCGGGUCUCUGGGCAGUAACUGACGCUGGAGGAGCGAAAGCCGUGGGGGAGCGAACAGG
Molecule: ribosomal RNA, 259 nt
Filed under: uncultured bacterium
Lineage: Bacteria
Description: partial 16S ribosomal RNA
Rfam family: Bacterial small subunit ribosomal RNA
Source: RNAcentral